GUGCCAGCCGCCGCGGUAAUACGUAGGUGGCAAGCGUUAUCCGGAAUUAUUGGGCGUAAAGCGCGCGUAGGCGGUUUUUUAAGUCUGAUGUGAAAGCCCACGGCUCAACCGUGGAGGGUCAUUGGAAACUGGAAAACUUGAGUGCAGAAGAGGAAAGUGGAAUUCCAUGUGUAGCGGUGAAAUGCGCAGAGAUAUGGAGGAACACCAGUGGCGAAGGCGACUUUCUGGUCUGUAACUGACGCUGAUGUGCGAAAGCGUGGGGAUCAAACAGGAUUA
Molecule: ribosomal RNA, 276 nt
Filed under: uncultured Staphylococcus sp.
Lineage: Bacteria; Bacillati; Bacillota; Bacilli; Caryophanales; Staphylococcaceae
Description: partial 16S ribosomal RNA
Rfam family: Bacterial small subunit ribosomal RNA
Source: RNAcentral